Vicugna pacos (alpaca) is the source of this 507-nucleotide non-coding RNA. The record is from RefSeq and is a predicted model, not a curated record. Lineage: Eukaryota; Metazoa; Chordata; Mammalia; Artiodactyla; Camelidae.
UGGCGCUCCUCGGCCGCGCCUCCGGCGCCUCCCGGGAACUGCUGACGCAGCUCCCAGCUGGGCCUCCACCUGGAUCCCAGCGGGCGCGGAGCGAGUCGGUACCGCGAGUCAGAGUUUGAACAGCUGAUGUUCAAGGACAGAUAAUGAGGAGGAGGAAUCAGUCCCACUCCUCCGAGGACAGUCACAUCCUAUGCUAAGCUACCCUAGUGCCCUGAGCUUAUUGGCAGCCUCGUCAACAAAGGAAAGCACCCACCCCACAUUUCUCCGAGUCAGGAAAUGGACACAGGCAAGAAGGAGAUUCAUCACCUGGAUGGCCACAAGAGCUGGGAGGUCCUUGGACCAACUUGUAACAAACUUAGGAAGGCAUCUCUGGGCCAUGGAACUGGCUCGUCAGGGAGACCAGGGAAUCUGAAAACAAUCCUGCUGCCUCCCCACCCCUAGCUUCAAACUCACCAUAGCCACAACCACAACCAGGCGAAAACCAGGCCAAGGAAAACAAGGUGAAAA